RNAcentral lists this ribosomal RNA (459 nucleotides) under uncultured bacterium. RNAcentral describes it as "bacterial SSU rRNA". It matches the Rfam family "Bacterial small subunit ribosomal RNA", at positions 29 to 506 of the family's 1533-position model. The record is from RNAcentral.
AUGAACGCUGGCGGCGUGCCUAAUACAUGCAAGUCGAACGGAGAAUGUAGCAAUACGUUCUUAGUGGCGAACGGGUGAGUAACGCGUUGGUGACCUGCCCCGAAGAGGGGGAUAACGGUCCGAAAGGGCUGCUAAUACCCCAUGUGGUCCUCUGGAUUAGAUGCCAGAUGACUAAACGGAUUUAUUCGCUUCGAGAGGAGCCUGCGUCCCAUCAGCUGGUUGGUAGGGUAACGGCCUACCAAGGCUAUGACGGGUAGGGGACCUGAGAGGGUGGCCCCCCACAAUGGAACUGAAACACGGUCCAUACACCUACGGGUGGCAGCAGUAGGGAAUAUUAGAAAUGGACGAAAGUCUGAUCUAGCAACACCGCGUGUGCGAAGAAGGCCUUCGGGUCGUAAAGCACUUUUUGGAAGGAAUAGGAAGGAAUGUACUUCCAGAAUAAGUCUCGGCUAACUACGU